UGGAUCUUCAAUGAGUCGUGUUCUAUUUUUCACUCGGCAACCCGGCAUAUCUCUGCAGAUUUCACUCGGCCAACUUCGGUUAUUCCUCUACACCAAACCAUGUUUCCAAACAGAGUUAUCUUUCCGUGACCCGCAAAUUAUAUUUUUAACUGGUUUGCUUUUGGCGCAAUAUUCUUAUGUUUAGGCUAACACUGUUUUUAACGGCGUCAGCUUCUUAUAUUUAUUGGGCUACAAACACUAAACAGUUGUCUUUUAUUUUCUGAGGAGAUUUUCUGACCUGGAAGAAAAGUAUAGAAAAUAUUUCCAAUUAUCUAUCUUGAGAUCACAGAGAUUGAAUGCUGCAGGUCUUGUGUUUAGUGUAUAGACUAAUUGGUGGAUGUUAUUAACAUUAACCUUUUAGCAAAGGUUAGCUUU
This is a long non-coding RNA of Patella vulgata (common limpet), 414 nucleotides long. RefSeq lists it as uncharacterized. The record is from RefSeq and is a predicted model, not a curated record. The transcript has 3 exons. NCBI's taxonomy places the organism in Eukaryota, Metazoa, Mollusca, Gastropoda, Patellidae.